CCUACGGGUGGCAGCAGUGGGGGAUAUUGCACAAUGGGGGAAACCCUGAUGCAGCGACGCCGCGUGGGUGAAGAAGCGCCUCGGCGCGUAAAGCCCUGUCAGCAGGGAAGAAAAUGACGGUACCUGAAGCAGAAGCCCCGGCUAACUACGUGCCAGCAGCCGCGGUAAUAAGGAGGGGGCAAGCGUUAGCCGGAUCUACUGGGGGUAAAGGGGUCGCAGAAGGCGAUGCAAGCACAGAGGGAAAGCCCUGGGCCGAACCCCGGGACUGCUCUUGGAAGUGCGUGGCUAGAGUGCAGGAGGGCCAGGCGGAAUUCCUGGUGUAGCGGUGAAAUGCGUAGAUAUCAGGAGGAACACCGGUGGCGAAGGCGGCCUGCUGGACUGCAACUGACGUUGAGGCCCGAAAGCGUGGGGAGCAAACAGGAUUAGAUACCCCAGUAGUC
This 440-nucleotide ribosomal RNA is filed under the name uncultured bacterium. RNAcentral's name for it is "partial 16S ribosomal RNA". It matches the Rfam family "Bacterial small subunit ribosomal RNA", at positions 338 to 795 of the family's 1533-position model. The record is from RNAcentral.